AUUGAACGCUGGCGGCAUGCUUUACACAUGCAAGUCGAACGGCAGCGCGGGCUUCGGCCUGGCGGCGAGUGGCGAACGGGUGAGUAAUACAUUGGAACGUGCCCAGUAGUGGGGGAUAGCUCGGCGAAAGCCGGAUUAAUACCGCAUACGACCUGAGGGUGAAAGCGGGGGAUCUUCGGACCUCGCGCUAUUGGAGCGGCCGAUGACAGAUUAGCUAGUUGGUGGGGUAAAGGCCUACCAAGGCGACGAUCUGUAGCUGGUCUGAGAGGACGACCAGCCACACUGGGACUGAGACACGGCCCAGACUCCUACGGGAGGCAGCAGUGGGGAAUUUUGGACAAUGGGCGAAAGCCUGAUCCAGCAAUGCCGCGUGUGUGAUGAAGGCCUUCGGGUUGUAAAGCACUUUUGGCGGGAACGAAAAGGACUGUGCCAAUACCACGGUUCGAUGACGGUACCCGCAGAAUAAGCACCGGCUAACUACGUG
This 484-nucleotide ribosomal RNA is filed under the name uncultured bacterium. RNAcentral's name for it is "partial 16S ribosomal RNA". It matches the Rfam family "Bacterial small subunit ribosomal RNA", at positions 29 to 507 of the family's 1533-position model. The record is from RNAcentral.